UCUAAACCAAUGGAAUGGAAA
RNAcentral lists this unclassified non-coding RNA (21 nucleotides) under Dictyostelium discoideum. The record is from RNAcentral. Lineage: Eukaryota; Evosea; Eumycetozoa; Dictyosteliales; Dictyosteliaceae.